UGUAACAAUAAGACGAAGUGCAAUAAGUGUGAAAGAAAUCAUAAUAAUUCAUUGCAUUUCAAUGAAUUCCAAAAAGGAAAAGGAGGAAGUGAUGAGAAUAUCACAAAAACGUCUCCCACAAUGAUGACGAAACAUUCGGAAACAGCAAAGAUCAGAGUGAAGGCAGCAAAUGGAGAGUACGUGACACUGUGAGCUCUAAUCGAUCAAGGAUCCCAAAAGACUACUAUUUCCGACGAAACAGCUCAGCUGAAAUACUUCAUUUAUCAAAAAAAGAGAAGUACUGACUACAAGGCUUAGGCAAUACCACAGUGGCAGUAUCCAAAUUUAAAAUUGAAAUAAAGCAAGAUUACUUUGCAACGAAGCAUACAAUGUCGAAGCACUAAUUUGGCCGAAAUUAGCGAGUGCCCAACCAGACAAAACGUUUAAAUAGGAUGUAGAACAACUGAAAAACUAAACUUUAGCUGAUCCCAAUUUCAACAAAUUUAAUCGAAGCGAUAUCGUCAUUGGAAGUGACAUACAUAUAUGCCGAUAUACUAGAGAAUGUAUAAUUAAAAAGAAACGAAUGCUAGAUCAAACUACGAAAUUGGGCUGGAUAUUGUCGGGAAUUUUACAACAACCGAGAAAAAUCAAUAAAAUUUUAACAGCAGAUUAUGAUGAAUGUUUACAAAUUUAUUAAAAAAAAAAACAUUGAGAUAUGCAAAUAAUCGAUUUGUCGUCAAUCUACUUUUUAAACAAGAAAAAGAAUUGGGAGAUUCUCGCAAACAAGCUAUAGUGAGGUUUCUUAAUAUUGAGAAAAGGUUCGCUACGGAUGACGAGUUAAGACAACAAUAUGUGCAAUUUAUGAGAGAAUAUUUAGAAAUGGGUCACAUUGAAAACGCAAGUGAAAAUAGAUACGGAAAAUACUAUUUGCCACAUUAAGCAGUGAUUCGAGAAAUAGUCUAACGACUAAAGUACUAGUAGUUUUCGAUGCGUUUGCAAAAACUACAAAUGGUGGUAGUUUAAGUGACAUUCUCUUCAUAGGACCGAGACUCCAAAAGAAUAUAUUUGACAUUAUAAUCAAAUGGAGACUUUGGCCAGUGAUAUUGAAAAGAUGUUUCGACAAAUUAAAAUAACAGAUAGUGAUCAAGAUUACCAACGUAUAUUGUGGAGAGCAACAAAAGGAGAGUCGAUAGAAGAAUAAAUACUACAAGCAGUUACAUAUGGGACAGCAUCAGCUCCUUUCUUGCCAACGAGAACUUUACAAGAAAUUGCCAAAUUAUGCGAACCCCACAACUAUUUGCUUUUAAGAAUCAUUAAAAACGACUUCUACAUGGACAAUUUAAUGACGGGAGCAGAUUCAAUAGAUGAAUGUAAGGCCCCUCAGUAUAAAAUAUACACAACAACCAAAAAAAAUGUGGAUUUAAGGAGUGGAUGUCAACCAACAGUGAAAUUCUACCAACAAUUCCAAUAAAUACAAAUAGCAGAAGACGAAAGAAUAAAGUAUUGGGUAUUCAAUGGGAUCCUACCAAAGACACAUUUGGAUUUAAUACGAAUUUUUCAACGUAAAAGCGUGUUAAAAAAUUUCGAAACCAAUGGGAUGACUUUCACCAAUAACCGUUAUAGCAAAGUUGUUUAUACAGAAUCUUUGGUUGAUGAAACUCAACAGGGACGAGUUACUUGAGGAGAACUUAGCAAAAGAAUGGCAAGAGUUAUGCACCAUAUAAAAGAGAUAAAACAAAUAAAAUAGAUGGUUCGAAACUAAAAGCAACUUUAAAUUUGAACUACAUGGAUUCCCAGAUGCUUCUGAUAAAGCUUAUGCAGCAGUUGUAUAUGCUAAAGUUGGAUCAAUUAUAAUAAUUGUUUCCGGUAAAACUAAAGUGAAUCCAAUUAAAAAUAAGAAAACNUUACCAAAACUGGAACUAUGCGCGGCUCACCUACUUGCUAAAUUGUUGCAAAGGAUAAAAACAGUUAUCAACAGAGAAGUAAAAAUAUUUGCUUCAACUCAACUAUAACGUUAGCAUGAGUAAAUAAUUCCCAAAGUAAUUUAUCAGAACAAGAGUAUAAGAAAUCAAAUUACUUGCUUCCGCUGCGAAAUGGCAGCACGUUGGAACAAAGGACAAUCCAGAGGGGUACUGGCGAAUAAACUAAUAGAACACGAUCUAUGGUGGAAGGGUCCAAAAUGGUUGCGAGAAGAGGAACAUCACUGGGCAAUGAAGAUUAUUCAAAUUGAUGCAACGUAUGUGACAGCCUCAAAGGAAUUACGUUUCUUUGAUAAGUACUUUUACACUAUUUUCGCCACUCGCUUCACUACUGCGGACCGCCGAAGAAUGUUGUCGUCGCAACGAACGUUCUUGUGAACCCUUUAAGGUCUGCUGGGUGGUGAAUACGCGUAACUGUAUGAAGUUGUCAUGUGUGCUGUCUUCGUGUGUGGUGUCUUCAUGUGCGGAUCGUGUUGGUGUGGUGUGUUAUCAUCCAGUCACGUGUGUUGAGGGGGGAGUUAACGCUCCCCCGUGACUAGACGACAUUAUCAAAUCUAAGAAUUUUGAAUCUCUUAAUUUUAAAUAUGACAUGAAUGAAUGAAAUCAGAGAAAUAAUAAGGUAGGAAAGAAUUAACGUAAAAAUAUCAUAUCUUAUUGAUGUUUCUGAAUUUCAAAUUGCACAAAAAAA
Molecule: long non-coding RNA, 2646 nt
Filed under: Bactrocera latifrons
Lineage: Eukaryota; Metazoa; Arthropoda; Insecta; Diptera; Tephritidae
Description: uncharacterized LOC108978386
Source: RNAcentral